Molecule: ribosomal RNA, 468 nt
Filed under: uncultured bacterium
Lineage: Bacteria
Description: partial 16S ribosomal RNA
Rfam family: Bacterial small subunit ribosomal RNA
Source: RNAcentral
GACGAACGCUGGCGGCGUGCUUAACACAUGCAAGUCGAACGGAAAGGCCCUGCUUUUGUGGGGUGCUCGAGUGGCGAACGGGUGAGUAAUACGUGAGUAACCUGCCCUUGACUUUGGGAUAACUUCAGGAAACUGGGGCUAAUACCGGAUAGGAGCUCCUGCUGCAUGGUGGGGGUUGGAAAGUUUCGGCGGUUGGGGAUGGACUCGCGGCUUAUCAGCUUGUUGGUGGGGUAGUGGCUUACCAAGGCUUUGACGGGUAGCCGGCCUGAGAGGGUGACCGGCCACAUUGGGACUGAGAUACGGCCCAGACUCCUACGGGAGGCAGCAGUGGGGAAUAUUGCACAAUGGGCGGAAGCCUGAUGCAGCAACGCCGCGUGCGGGAUGACGGCCUUCGGGUUGUAAACCGCUUUCGCCUGUGACGAAGCGUGAGUGACGGUAAUGGGUAAAGAAGCACCGGCUAACUAUGUG